RNAcentral lists this ribosomal RNA (481 nucleotides) under uncultured bacterium. Its description in RNAcentral is "partial 16S ribosomal RNA". It matches the Rfam family "Bacterial small subunit ribosomal RNA", at positions 28 to 507 of the family's 1533-position model. The record is from RNAcentral.
GAUGAACGCUGGCGGCGUGCUUAACACAUGCAAGUCGAACGAAGCAUUUACGACAGAUUCCUACGGUUUGAAGUCUUUUAUGACUGAGUGGCGGACGGGUGAGUAACGCGUGGGUAACCUGCCUCAUACAGGGGGAUAGCAGCUGGAAACGGCUGGUAAUACCGCAUAAGCGCACAGUACCACAUGGUCCAGUGUGAAAAACUCCGGUGGUAUGCGAUGGACCCGCGUCUGAUUAGCUUGUUGGCGGGGUAACGGCCCACCAAGGCGACGAGCAGUAGCCGAGGUGUGAGGGUGGCCGGCGACAUUGAGGCUGGGAAGCGGCCGAGACUCCUACGGGAGGGAGGAGAGGGGAAUAUAGCACAGUGGAGGAAACGCUGAUGCAGCGAGGCCGGGAGAGUGAAGAAGUAGGUCGCUAUGUGAUGCUCGCUCAGCAGGGAAGAUAGUGACGGUACCUGAAUAAGAAGCACCGGCUAACUACGUG